This 292-nucleotide unclassified non-coding RNA is filed under the name Hevea brasiliensis (rubber tree). Lineage: Eukaryota; Viridiplantae; Streptophyta; Magnoliopsida; Malpighiales; Euphorbiaceae. The record is from RNAcentral.
AAAAACAUGUAAGAACUUGCACUAAUAAUUUCCAUAUAACCAAAGGCAGGCAACAUAAAAUGCAAGCAUGUCUACCAUUUGACAUACCUAUUUAGAUUUUGGACAUGAUGGCUUCAAGUUCCACAUUCAAAAUCAAGCAAAACAAAAAAGGUAAAAGGUAUUUUCCUAAAUGUUUAGCUCAAUGGGGAAUCAACAUUCAAUUAAGGUUGUCCAUAAAAAUUUUCAUGUUGCUUACAGAAAAUAUAUAACAUAAAAUGGUUGACAAAAAAAUUGCUAUAUCAUCCAAAAAUUU